AUUGAACGCUGGCGGCAGGCCUAACACAUGCAAGUCGAGCGGAUGAAGGGAGCUUGCUCCUGGAUUCAGCGGCGGACGGGUGAGUAAUGCCUAGGAAUCUGCCUGGUCGUGGGGGAUAACGUCCGUAAACGGGCGCUAAUACCGCAUACGUCCUGAGGGAGAAAGUGGGGGAUCUUCGGACCUCACGCUAUCAGAUGAGCCUAGGUCGGAUUAGCUAGUUGGUGGGGUAAAGGCCUACCAAGGCGACGAUCCGUAACUGGUCUGAGAGGAUGAUCAGUCACACUGGAACUGAGACACGGUCCAGACUCCUACGGGAGGCAGCAGUGGGGAAUAUUGGACAAUGGACGAAAGCCUGAUCCAGCCAUGCCGCGUGUGUGAAGAAGGUCUUCGGAUUGUAAAGCACUUUAAGUUGGGAGGAAGGGAAGUAAGUUAAUACCUUGCUGUUUUGACGUUACCAACAGAAUAAGCAACGGCUAACUUCGUG
RNAcentral lists this ribosomal RNA (484 nucleotides) under uncultured bacterium. RNAcentral describes it as "partial 16S ribosomal RNA". It matches the Rfam family "Bacterial small subunit ribosomal RNA", at positions 30 to 507 of the family's 1533-position model. The record is from RNAcentral.